This 1452-nucleotide ribosomal RNA is filed under the name Triticum aestivum (bread wheat). RNAcentral's name for it is "partial small subunit ribosomal RNA". Lineage: Eukaryota; Viridiplantae; Streptophyta; Magnoliopsida; Poales; Poaceae. The record is from RNAcentral.
AUGGGGAGUUGGCCCCGUGAUAAGACCGGGCCGCGUCUCCCCUCUCCCGUUCCCAUUCCCCACUUCCCCACCUGUUCUAGAACCCAAACCCUAGCGGCCAUGGAUCCGUCCAAGCUGAGCGAGCUGCGCUCCUUCGUGGAGGCGUGCAAGAAGGACCCGGCCCUGCUCGCCGACCCCGCCCUCGCCUUCUUCCGCGACUACCUCACCUCCCUCGGCGCCACCCUCCCCGCGUCCGCCGCCGCCGCCGGCAAGCCCGCGCCCAAGGCGAGGUCCAUGGACGACAUCGACGACGACGACGACGAGGAGGAUGAGGGGGAGGGGGAGGACGACCAGGACAUGCGCGACCCCACCCCCGAGCCCGACGAGCUCGACGAGGAGAUCGUCGAGUCCGACCUCGAGCUCGACAACGACGGCGUCGUCCACCCCGACCACGACGACGCGCCACAGAAGAUGGGAGACUCUUCCGUCGAGGUGACCGAGGAGAGCCGUGACGCCUCCCAGGAAGCAAAGGGCCAGGCAAUGGAAGCAAUGUCAGAAGGGAAACUGGAAGAGGCCGUCGAGCAUCUCACCAAGGCUAUACUGCUGAAUCCAACCUCGGCAAUCAUGUAUGGUACCAGAGCAUCUGUGUUCAUCAAAAUGAAGAAGCCUGCUGCUGCCAUCCGUGAUGCGAACGCUGCUCUAGAGAUCAACCCAGACUCUGCAAAGGGCUACAAGACCCGUGGGAUGGCUAAUGCCAUGCUUGGCAAGUGGGAGGAAGCUGCUCGUGAUCUGCAUGCUGCGUCAAACAUUGACUACGAUGAUGAGAUCAAUGCUGUGCUCAAGAAGGUGGAGCCUAAUGCACACAAGAUAGUGGAGCAUCGCAGGAAGUAUGACAGGCUGAGGAAAGAGAGGGCGGAGAAGAAAGCUGAGCGUGACAGGCUUCGUCGCCGUGCUGAGGCACAGGCUGCUUAUGAGAAGGCCAAGAGGAAGGAGCAAUCAUCAAGCCGCUCUUCAGGAGGCAUGCCUGGUGGAAUGCCCGGUGGCUUCCCAUUCCCAGGAGGCAUGGGUGGAAUGCCUGGUGGCUUCCCUGGAGGGAUGCCUGGUGGUUUCCCUGGAGGUAUGGGUGGUAUGCCUGGAGGAAUGGGGGGUGGUUUCCCUGGAGGAAUGGGUGGAGGUAUGCCCGCAGGAAUGGGGGGCGGUAUGCCCGCAGGAAUGGGAGGCGGUAUGCCUGGAAUGGGGGGUGGUAGAGGAAUGGGAGGUGGUAUGCCUGGAGCUGGGGGUGCUCCCGGUAAUGUUGAUAUGGGUGACAUCUUGAAUGACCCUGACCUGAUGGCAGCAUUUGGUGACCCAGAGGUUAUGGCGGCCCUUCAAGAUGUGAUGAGCAACCCUGCCAACUUGGCCAAGCACCAGGCGAACCCGAAGGUGGGGCCCAUCAUCGCCAAGAUGAUGGCCAAGAUGAACGGGAACCGGUGA